This 366-nucleotide unclassified non-coding RNA is filed under the name fungal sp. Its description in RNAcentral is "partial internal transcribed spacer region". The stretch from base 1 to 46 matches the Rfam family "Eukaryotic small subunit ribosomal RNA", at positions 1786 to 1831 of the family's 1831-position model. Lineage: Eukaryota; Fungi. The record is from RNAcentral.
AAGUCGUAACAAGGUUUCCGUAGGUGAACCUGCGGAAGGAUCAUUAACACGUAUCCAACGUUAAACAACCCUGUGAACUUUCAACCGCUCUUGUAGCCCACGCGGAACAGCAAUCCCGGUAAAUCAAUUGGAGGAAAGGUUUUGAUUCGGGACCUCUGUCCAUCAGGCUACAAUCGAGCUAGGAGCAGUGGCAUGGUUUCCCUAAGCAGUGCAGAAGGAUCCACUGAGUAAGGAUAACGCCUCACGGUUGCCAGAGGUCGAUCACCAGGGCUAUAUGCCCCCUCAUUCACACCUUGCCCUAUCUGGCCCCACGGAAACGUUGGGGCACAAACCGAACAACUGUUAACAAUGGAUAUCUUGGUUCUC